UACAGAGGGGGCAAGCGUUAAUCGGAAUUACUGGGCGUAAAGCGUGCGCAGGCGGUGAUGUAAGACAGAUGUGAAAUCCCCGGGCUCAACCUGGGAACUGCAUUUGUGACUGCAUCGCUGGAGUACGGCAGAGGGGGAUGGAAUUCCGCGUGUAGCAGUGAAAUGCGUAGAGAUGUGGAGGAACACCGAUGGCGAAGGCAGCCCCCCUGGGCUAACACUGACGCUCAGGCACGAAAGCGUGGGGAGCAAACAGG
This 254-nucleotide ribosomal RNA is filed under the name uncultured bacterium. RNAcentral describes it as "partial 16S ribosomal RNA". It matches the Rfam family "Bacterial small subunit ribosomal RNA", at positions 524 to 776 of the family's 1533-position model. The record is from RNAcentral.